CUAAGAAUAUUCCACAAUGGACGAAAGUCUGACGGAGCGACGCCGCGUGGAUGAUGAAGGCCGGAAGGUUGUAAAAUCCUUUUAUGACUGAGGAAUAAGUGAAGUGAGGGAAACGCUUCAUGGUGACUGUAGGUCAUGAAUAAGCAACGGCUAAUUACGUGCCAGCAGCCGCGGUAACACGUAAGUUGCGAGCGUUGUUCGGAAUUAUUGGGCGUAAAGGGUAUGUAGGCGGUUCUGCAAGUCUGGUGUGAAAUGCCGGGGCUCAACCCCGGAACUGCAUUGAGAACUAAGAUACUGGAGUCGCUGAAGUGCAGCCAGAAUUCCUGGUGUAGGG
This 334-nucleotide ribosomal RNA is filed under the name uncultured Treponema sp. RNAcentral's name for it is "bacterial SSU rRNA". It matches the Rfam family "Bacterial small subunit ribosomal RNA", at positions 355 to 680 of the family's 1533-position model. The record is from RNAcentral. Lineage: Bacteria; Pseudomonadati; Spirochaetota; Spirochaetia; Treponematales; Treponemataceae.